RNAcentral lists this ribosomal RNA (671 nucleotides) under Phanerochaete sp. Sib2-1-4. RNAcentral's name for it is "eukaryotic LSU rRNA". The stretch from base 255 to 408 matches the Rfam family "5.8S ribosomal RNA". The record is from RNAcentral. Lineage: Eukaryota; Fungi; Basidiomycota; Agaricomycetes; Polyporales; Phanerochaetaceae.
UAGAGGAAGUAAAAGUCGUAACAAGGUUUCCGUAGGUGAACCUGCGGAAGGAUCAUUAACGAGUAACUGAACAGGUUGUAGCUGGCCUCUCGGGGCAUGUGCACGCCUGGCUCAUCCACUCUUCAACCACUGUGCACUUAUUGUAGGUCGGUUCAGAAGGGCGAGUGUAACAGCUCGCUCGGAAGGCCUUCCUAUGUUUUAUUACAAACGCUUCAGUUUAAGAAUGUAAACCUGCGUAUAACGCAUCUAUAUACAACUUUCAGCAACGGAUCUCUUGGCUCUCGCAUCGAUGAAGAACGCAGCGAAAUGCGAUAAGUAAUGUGAAUUGCAGAAUUCAGUGAAUCAUCGAAUCUUUGAACGCACCUUGCGCUCCCUGGUAUUCCGGGGAGCAUGCCUGUUUGAGUGUCAUGGUAUUCUCAUCCUUCAUAACUUUUGUUAUCGAAGGCAUGGACUUGGAGGUCGUGCUGGUUCCUCGUUGAAUCGGCUCCUCUUAAAUGCAUUAGCGUGAGUGUAACGGAUCGCUUCGGUGUGAUAAUUAUCUGCGCCGUGGUCGUGAAGUAACAUAAGCUUGCGCUUCUAACCGUCCUUAAGCUGGACAACUUACUUUGACAUCUGACCUCAAAUCAGGUAGGACUACCCGCUGAACUUAAGCAUAUCAAUAAGCCGGAGGA